This 395-nucleotide ribosomal RNA is filed under the name uncultured bacterium. RNAcentral's name for it is "bacterial SSU rRNA". It matches the Rfam family "Bacterial small subunit ribosomal RNA", at positions 28 to 417 of the family's 1533-position model. The record is from RNAcentral.
GACGAACGCUGACGGUGUGCUUUAGACAUGCAAGUCGAACGAGAAAGCCCUUCGGGUUAGUAAAGUGGCGAACGGGUGAGUAACACGUGGGCAAUCUGCCCCUCGCAGGGGGACAACCGGAGGAAACCCCGGCUAAUACCCCGUAAGUUCAAAGGGAGGCAUCUCCCCUUGAAGAAAGGUAGCUUCGGCCAUCCGGCGAGGGAUGAGCCCGCGGUGCAUUAGCUAGUUGGUGGGGUAACGGCCCACCAAGGCGACGAUGCAUAGCUGGUCUGGGAGGAUGAUCAGCCACACUGGGACUGAGACACGGCCCAGACUCCUACGGGAGGCAGCAGUCGGGAAUCUUGCGCAAUGGGCGAAAGCCUGACGCAGCGACGCCGCGUGAGGGAUGACGGCCU